UUAUCUCGAUAAAUUAUAUAUGAUUCUUUAAUCUAGAUAAAUUAAAAUUAAAUCAUCUUUAAUCUAAGCUACAUUUACAUGUCAUUUAUCUUAUAUUUAUUUAGAUAAUUUUAAAUUAUCUGAACGCAACACUAUUUGUUUAUUUAUAAGUUCUCAACGUUGACCUACAGUGCCCAUCAGUGCCCAUGAUGGCCGUGAUGUGCAACAGUGUGUUGGGUUGCACGUUCUCCCCCAUCGAUCAAAUGUAGCGAUGCUAAUUGCAUCUAACGUCUUUAUCAAUAUAAUGAGCACAUGGAAAUUGAUACAACGACGGUGUUACGACUUGCUUUCAUAUAAAUACUCAUUGCUCGUAAUAUUGGUGGCGUUUACUUGCAUAUUCAUCGGCAUUGUGCACUUUGGAGAGGUAUGGUUGAUAUGGAGCAAAGAAAAGUACGAGGCGGUUUUUCACUCCUUCAACGACAAUAUUCUGGGAAAAUCCUUUCAAAAGAAAUUGUGCCAACACGUACCCAUAGACGUAGUUUAUACAUGGGUAAACGGAUCCGAUCCAGUGUUCUUAGAAAGCCUCCAGAGGCACGUCCCUGUUGUGGAUCUCGGUGCCGCCGCCUCGAGAUUCAGUGACAAAGACGAGUUGCGCUACUCGUUGCGAUCGUUGGAGAUGUAUGCGCCUUGGGUGAGGCACGUUUACAUCGUUACCAACGGCCAAAUACCGAGUUGGCUUGAUAUGGAUAAUCCUCGGAUGACUCUUGUCACUCACGAAGAUAUCUUUCUGAAUAAAAGUGAUUUGCCAACUUUUUCUAGUCCUGCUAUUGAAAGUCAUAUUCAUAGGAUACCUGGUGUUUCUGACAAAUUUUUAUAUUUUAAUGACGACGUAAUGUUAGGUACCGAAGUGUGGCCAGAGGAUUUCAUAACUCAAGCAAAUGGACAAAAGGUGUACCUGGCGUGGUGGGUUCCUGACUGUUCCGAGAUCUGUCCAUGGGCGUGGGUCGGCGACGGAUCGUGCGAUCACGCUUGUAACACAACAUUGUGCGAAUUUGAUGGCGGAGACUGUCAAACGACUGAUGUCCCUAUAGAUAGCGAGGUAAUGGAAGGAGAAGACGAUUAUCCAUAUAAGUACCUGCACGAUUAUCAUGAAAACAAUUACGACGACCUCAAACUAUUAAGCAUCUUGCGCAAGAAAAACAUCGUUCGUCCAUCACGAAAGGACGCGCUAAUAUCCACAGUUCAAACAUUAUAUACGUAUAAUCUCAGUACUAUUUCUAAGCCAAUCCGUACAAUUAGCAAUCUUGGAAAUAGCAGUUUUAGGAAAUUACAAGCACAAAGUAUAAAAUUUGACGGUGAAGAUUAUAAAUUUGCAAAGGAUUUUGUAAAACCUGCAUACUCCAAAUUGUCACACAUAAACACCUCGAACAAAACUGCAUAUCGUAUCAAACUUUUGAAACGUUACCGCAAUAUCAUGAAUGCGGCACAAUCGAACAAUUCUGUUAAGUUCGAUAAGAUCGCAUAUCCCAAUCAAUGGAAACGUAAUGCACGAGGAUUGGACACUUACGCGGAGUCUUUGCUAUACGUUAACAAAAUAUAUAACACUGCUUACGGCCUCGAACGGAGGAGAGUGCCAGCGCACAUGCCGCAUUUGAUAGACAAGUGGAUCGUGAAUAGCAUGCAAGAAAAGUUCGAGUUUGAAUUUAAGAAAACCUCUAGUCACAAAAUGAGAGAUCCCGAGGACAUGCAAUUCGCAUUUUCUUACUUCUACUUUUUAUCCAGUGAAAAACGAAGUGUACUCAUCGAGGAGAUGUUUGAUAUGUUUGAUACUGAUAAAUCACGGACUUGGUCGGACAGGGAAAUAAGGACGCUCUUGUCCCGAUUAUAUCCGUUGCCGCUUGAUUACAAUCUAGUCAUGGAAUUCGAAAAUGAGAUAAUAAAUUGUUCGCAUCGUCUAAAUCUACCGGAGAUCGUUGACGUUCCACCAGGAGAAAGAUAUCUGGACUCUACUCUCCCGGUAGUUUCUAAAGAAUUGAUACUGAACUGCGAAUCAGUUUUUAGAAGACUGCAAUCAAAAUUCGGCACAAGUAGCCGAUAUCCGCAUGAGAUUAUAAAAGCCGGCAAAAAUGAAAUUUUCGAGAUGUUGACCAGCAAUGUUUCUCUAACGGUACAAUUGCUGGAUGAAAUUAGGAGGGAUCCCAAGAAGUUCAUUUGUUUGAACGAUGACAUGGAUCCAAUUCGACAUUCGGAAAACGAGAUUGUUCGCGCUUUGUUAAACGAUUUUUAUCGUUCGUUGUAUCCGCUGCGAAGCACCUUCGAAUUGCCGUCGCAAUAUCGAAAUCGUUUCUCCCACUUACACGAACUUCUCGAAUGGAGAGCGAAUCGUGCAAAAGCUAGAAAUUUAUUACUGUGCCUUCUAGCGUUGCUCCUUACGUUUACGUUCUAUCACGUACUCUACCAUCACAUGCGUAGGAUGUGCAGAACUCGAGAAUUAUCUACGUUUCUUGUGUGAAUCAUCCAUAAUCGAAAUCAGCAUAGAGUUAUAUGAUGGAACUAAUAAUGUUUCAGAAAAUUCGUUACAAAAGAUCUGUUCCUUAAGAAUUAUUUUGAUUCGACACUUUCUAAAAUUAGAUAAUGAUAUUCCUGUGAUACAAUAAACGCUUUUUUGUAAUUACAUUUUAAUAAAAGAAUCGAUUAUAUGUAUAAUAGAAUAUUGAAUCAAA
This is an RNA transcript of Solenopsis invicta (red fire ant), 2702 nucleotides long. It is a transcript of the gene named N-acetylglucosamine-1-phosphotransferase subunits alpha/beta, with no coding region annotated. Lineage: Eukaryota; Metazoa; Arthropoda; Insecta; Hymenoptera; Formicidae. The record is from RefSeq and is a predicted model, not a curated record. The transcript has 8 exons.